This 72-nucleotide transfer RNA is filed under the name Ursus americanus (American black bear). It matches the Rfam family "tRNA". From Rfam's summary of the family: Transfer RNA (tRNA) molecules are approximately 80 nucleotides in length. Their secondary structure includes four short double-helical elements and three loops (D, anti-codon, and T loops). Lineage: Eukaryota; Metazoa; Chordata; Mammalia; Carnivora; Ursidae. RNAcentral also lists the same sequence under 2 other names. The record is from Rfam by way of RNAcentral.
GCCUGGCUGGCUCAGGGGAAGAGCACGUGGCUCUUGAUCUUGGGGCUGUGAGUUCAAGCCCCAUGUUGGGUG